RNAcentral lists this ribosomal RNA (277 nucleotides) under uncultured bacterium. RNAcentral describes it as "partial 16S ribosomal RNA". It matches the Rfam family "Bacterial small subunit ribosomal RNA", at positions 28 to 318 of the family's 1533-position model. The record is from RNAcentral.
AAUGAACGUUGGCGGCGUGGAUUAGGCAUGCAAGUCGAACGCUCCGCGAGGGGAGUGGCGGAAGGGUGAGUAAGGCGACGGUAACCAACCCCGCGGUCGGGCAUAGCCGAGGGAAACCUCGGGUAAUUCCCGGCGACGUGUGGUCCUGGCAUCAGGGCUCCACCAAAGGUCCGCCGCCGCGGGACGGGCCGUCGUGGUAUUAGCUUGUUGGUGAGGUGAUGGCUCACCAAGGCGGCGAUGCCUACCGGGCGUGCGAGCGUGGCCCGGCACACUGGGA